UCUGAUCCGAAGCCGAGCUCUGCCAGCGGAUCAGUAGGCGAAUCAUCCUUCUGGCAGAGGCGGGGGAACCACUAACGGCUGCUGCGGCAGCCUUGGGGUGAAGUCCGCUAGCGGCAAGCAAACACCAGAGGAUGUCCUUGGAUUCCCCUGUGCCUGGAUGCUUGCACCGGCGGACCGGGUCUUUGAUCUCUCUGACCCGAAUCCGACAGCUAACUUCGCAGGCUAGCCAGAGAGGAACC
Molecule: small RNA, 239 nt
Filed under: Arthrobacter sp.
Lineage: Bacteria; Bacillati; Actinomycetota; Actinomycetes; Micrococcales; Micrococcaceae
Description: c-di-AMP sequence
Rfam family: c-di-AMP riboswitch aptamer (ydaO/yuaA leader)
About the family: This family represents a conserved RNA structure found upstream of the ydaO and yuaA genes in Bacillus subtilis and related genes in other bacteria.
Source: RNAcentral